GUAUGGCUUUUUGUUCUUUUAUCUACAAUUGAGAAAGGAUGCAUAUUUAGCUAGUUGUGAUGGUGAAUAACAAUCAAAUGUUUGUGUUACUUGUGACAGACAAGAUGAUGAUAUAAGGCACUGGACCCUUCUUUUUCUGCUCUAUUGGUAAGCUAAGGAGUCUUAAUUAAUGUUGUCUCCUAGCUAAUUCCACAUUUUACAGAGCCAAGUGGAAGUUGAUGGUGGCAAAUCAUUAGAUCUCAGCAACUAUCCAUACAUAUAUAUGAGAUGGAAGGAGCAAUACUUUGUGAAUGUUGGCAGAGACUGUGGUUUGACUAUAGCCGGCUUUUACUAUGUGUGUUUCUCAUGUAGUGAUGGCUCCAUCAAUGGCUUCUAAUGAUCCUAAUAGCAGCCCGUUCCAGAAGCUUGAGCUGAAACAUACAAAUGAGGGAAGAUUAGGAUUCAGUUUUUCGUCCUACAAACCAAUCUGUAGAUUCGUUUGUGUUAGUAAUGGUACUUCACGGGCUGUGUGGUGAUUACCAUAUACUAGUGACUUCGAGGUGAUAUGAAAUCAUGCAUUUGAUCGUGAAUUUUUGAUUAAGUGAGAAAUAGUGAACUAAAGGGAAGUUUUGUUCUUUCUCUAUGAUUCUUGGCGUUAUCUUCAGUAUGUUUAGCAUUUAAUUUUCUCCAGUACUUACAAGGUACAGGCGUACAGCCUAGUAAGCGCUAAUUGGGGAUAUCAAGCCCAGAAUACAAGAAGUAAAGAGAAUUGGGCUUAGCCCAUGCUGCCACUACGCGUGUAAAACUACUACAGUAAGGAAUACCAUCGUCUUAUUGGCCCUACCAGGCAGUGGUUCAAGGUUCAAGGAUGAACAACUCAAUCAGUAAUUUCUUCUUUUUCUCUAGCAAGAUAGUUGGACCUUGUGGUUUACCUGAUUCAAGGCUAUGAAUAUAUGCCUUAGAAAUAGAAACACAUCGAUUGGAAGGGCUGCUGAACAAGAAGAUGGUUCAACACCAUACCUCCUGCAGCAUCAUCUGCAAAUAGUGAAUUGCAACCUAUUGCUUUAAACUCAUUUCCUUAUCAAACAUUUUAUUUAUUGCCAUUCUUUUAUGAAUAUUUCCAAAAACAUGAUACCAAAACUAUAUACUUAGAAAAUAAAAGCCCGAAAGUGUAAAGUGUUCCGGUAUAAUUAACAUGCAACAAGAAGUGAAAGUUUUGCAUUUUCGAGUUUGAAAUUGACAUCGGCAACAUAUUAAAAGGGGGUUAUAAUUUACAAGUUGCAUCGUUCGAUGGAAAUUUUGUUAAAAUGGCAGUUUUUGUUAGGAAAUUCAGUUAAGAUCUUGAGCCAAGCCGACAUUCAGGCUCCGUCUCAUGCCCAUACAACCAAUUUCUUAAGGUUGGUCUGGCCUAUUGCUCUUUCCUUGUGCCUAUUUCGCUUUACGGGGGUUCAUUUACGGGUACAACAAUAGUCUCGUGGAAGAAUUUCUUCCAUUAAAGUGUGGGUGGUUAGAAUGUGGUUUUACUCCGAUUUUCAGUUUGCUAAUAUAUGAGAUAUAAGUACUGUAUGAUCUUUCUUUGUAUGCGGUAGGUUCAGCAGGUCAAAGACAUAAACAAGCUGGGUUUUAUGGGUCGGGUUCAAGAAGAGCUUGUGUUGAUAGAAGACUGGUACAUUUUCAGGUGAGACCGGUGGGGAUUGGUGGAGGGUUGUCACUUGAGACAAUAAAACCAAUCAUACCAAUCGCGGGGUCUAGUCAAAUGCAGUGCUUCUGCUUUGAAUGCCAGAUGUGCUACAGCACUACAAACCAAAUCUAUCGCAAGUCUUUGAGAACGAGCAUUUUGCAGUUUGGUGAUGGACCAAGAGAGAUGAUAUAUUGUUCUUUUAGAUGAAAGAAAAGUCUCCUUGUAGAGUUUUUUAGAAUAAUUUGUAUUUAAAUAUUUUUUUUUUUUAAAAAUGGAAUAUAUGUAGUUACCA
Molecule: long non-coding RNA, 1952 nt
Filed under: Rosa chinensis
Lineage: Eukaryota; Viridiplantae; Streptophyta; Magnoliopsida; Rosales; Rosaceae
Description: sRNA RchiOBHm_Chr7g0189671
Source: RNAcentral